UACGUAGGGUGCAAGCGUUGUCCGGAAUUAUUGGGCGUAAAGAGCUCGUAGGCGGUCUGUCGCGUCGGAUGUGAAAAUCCAGGGCUCAACCCUGGACCUGCAUUCGAUACGGGCAGACUAGAGUUCGGUAGGGGAGACUGGAAUUCCUGGUGUAGCGGUGAAAUGCGCAGAUAUCAGGAGGAACACCGGUGGCGAAGGCGGUUCUCUGGGCAUUACCUGACGCUGAGGAGCGAAAGUGUGGGGAACGAACAGG
Molecule: ribosomal RNA, 253 nt
Filed under: uncultured bacterium
Lineage: Bacteria
Description: partial 16S ribosomal RNA
Rfam family: Bacterial small subunit ribosomal RNA
Source: RNAcentral